AUUGAAAUUCUUGAAUCUAAUAAGACAAAAGAUUUGUAAUGUACAGGUUCUAAAAUAAUAUUUAAUAUAAAACAAAGAGAGGAUUCUGAAGAGAGAAUAGGACUUUCAUUAGAUAUUCUAUAAGGUUCUAGCUGCACGUUGCCUAUUGUAGUUGGACAAACUUGUUUUUUGAUAUAUUAUUUUCUUUGAUAUUUAUACUCUUCAUUUUAUAAUUACAUCAUUUCUUUAGAAAAUAUUAAAUAAUAUGCUUAGGUUCUCCAUAAUAUAAGUAUAAUCUUUCUUGAUGGCAACGAGUCUUUUCUUAUUUAGUAAAAGGUUUGACUUGUACUACAUCAAAUUGUGUAUCUUUUAUUUUUGAAUAUAUGUGUUGAAGAGGCAACGAUGUUGCAAUUGAAUUAUAGUAACGUUGAAGCCCACUUAUUUGACUCUCAUAUCAAAAUUCAAAAAGUUGAUUGUCAUACUUCAUAGCAAAGUCAAUUGCUUAACUUAAUGUUUAAAGAUCAAGUAAGUUGAA
This 514-nucleotide long non-coding RNA is filed under the name Physcomitrium patens. Its description in RNAcentral is "long non-coding RNA (PPAT_LNC004397)". The record is from RNAcentral. Lineage: Eukaryota; Viridiplantae; Streptophyta; Bryopsida; Funariales; Funariaceae.